CCAGGCUGGUCUCAAACUCCCGAACUCAGGUGAUCUGCCGGCCUUGGCCUCCCAAAGUGCUUCGAUUACAGAUAUGAGUGACCACACCCUGUCACUUCAGCAGAUUUCUAAGCAACAAAUCGAUCCUGAGGUGGUGGGGAGCGCUGAAGAUGCAGCUGGAACAAGACCAGCCACAAAUUGAUCAGUAUUGAAGUGUAAAUUAGUGCAGUCCACUAGGCCGAGGCAAGAUGGAAGACUUUGGACAUCAGGAGGCAGCCAAGGCUUCUGGGACUGCAAAAACAGAAUGCAGGAAAAGAAUUCCUAAAGGAAAGGCUCAACCAGAACAGAUGGGCCAAGAUGAAGUCCAGGACAAUCCAACUGGCUGGAACCAGGAAAGAAGCCACCAGGAUCGAGAGGAGAGUGUGCAGGGCCUGUCAGGAAGAGACAGGGUCGAUGCAGGUGAGUCCCAGGGGCUGCUAAGUUCUCCCCCACCCUGCCACUCACCACGACUCUGGCCUGGCACUUGGCAUUUCUUCUUAAUGUGUUUGGCAUUUCCUGUGUUUUAAAAGGCAUUCUUGGGCUUGACAAGAUGAGAGAGAAAUAAAGGGAUAAAUCUCAGACCUGCUUUCUUUGAGCUUGCAUUGACAUCUAAAUGACAAUGGUAGCGACAGUCUGCGCAACCACAAAUGAAGCUUCUAUCUGCUUCCUUCCAGACACCUUGGCUUUCCCUCACUGCAAGGGAAAGGAAACUGUUUCUUGAGGGCAGUACUAGGGUAACCCUGGCCACUCCACCUUCUCUCUAAGGUGGUCUUUAUCAUCCUCCGUAGGAGGUCGUGUCAUUCCCAUUUUAUAGUUGAAACAGAUUCAGCAAGUACACUCAGAGCAGAUAAGUCCUUGUCCAAGGACUCGUGGUCAGCCACUGUCACUUUUCACUUGUGACUGAU
Sapajus apella (tufted capuchin) is the source of this 923-nucleotide long non-coding RNA. RefSeq lists it as uncharacterized. The record is from RefSeq and is a predicted model, not a curated record. Lineage: Eukaryota; Metazoa; Chordata; Mammalia; Primates; Cebidae. The transcript is spliced from 3 exons.